GAUUAUGGCUCAGAACGAACGCUGGCGGCGCGUUUAAGCAUGCAAGUCGAGCGGCAAGGGCCUUCGGGCCCCUAGAGCGGCGGACGGGUGAGUAACACGUGGACAAUCUGCCCCCCGGCCCGGGAUAGCCCAGGGAAACCUGGAUUAAUACCGGAUGAGACGGGACCCGCGAAGGCGGGACCGGAAAGGCGCUGCGGCGCCGCCGGGGGAUGAGUCUGCGUCCCAUUAGCUAGACGGCGGGGUAACGGCCCACCGUGGCGACGAUGGGUAGCCGGCCUGAGAGGGUGGACGGCCACAUUGGAACUGAGACACGGUCCAGACUCCUACGGGAGGCAGCAGCUAAGAAUCUUCCGCAAUGGGCGAAAGCCUGACGGAAGCGACGCCGCGUGAACGAAGAAGGCCGUGAGGUUGUAAAGUUCUUUUCGGGAGGGGGAACAACCGUGGCAGGGAAUGGCCGCGGGAUGACGUGAAUCCCGGAAUAAGCCCCGGCUAACUACGUGCCAGCCGCCGC
This 511-nucleotide ribosomal RNA is filed under the name uncultured bacterium. RNAcentral describes it as "bacterial SSU rRNA". It matches the Rfam family "Bacterial small subunit ribosomal RNA", at positions 15 to 518 of the family's 1533-position model. The record is from RNAcentral.